GAUGAACGCUAGCGAUAGGCCUAACACAUGCAAGUCGAGGGGCAGCAUAGAGUAGCAAUACUUUGAUGGCGACCGGCGCACGGGUGAGUAACACGUAUGCAACCUACCUACAUCAGGGGAAUAACCCGGAGAAAUUCGGACUAAUACCGCAUAAUACAGGGAUGCCGCAUGGCAAUAUUUGUUAAAGAUUUAUCGGAUGUAGAUGGGCAUGCGUUCCAUUAGCUUGUUGGUGAGGUAACGGCUCACCAAGGCAACGAUGGAUAGGGGAACUGAGAGGUUUGUCCCCCACACUGGAACUGAGACACGGACCAGACUCCGACGGGAGGCAGCAGUGAGGAAUAUUGGUCAAUGGACGAGAGUCUGAACCAGCCAAAUCGCGUGAAGGAAGACUGCCCUACGGGUUGUAAACUUCUUUUGUACAGGAAUAAAAGACAUUACGUGUAAUGUAUUGCAUGUACUGUACGAAUAAGCAUCGGCUAACCCCGUGCCAGCCGCCGCGGUAA
Molecule: ribosomal RNA, 503 nt
Filed under: uncultured bacterium
Lineage: Bacteria
Description: partial 16S ribosomal RNA
Rfam family: Bacterial small subunit ribosomal RNA
Source: RNAcentral